RNAcentral lists this ribosomal RNA (301 nucleotides) under uncultured bacterium. RNAcentral describes it as "partial 16S ribosomal RNA". It matches the Rfam family "Bacterial small subunit ribosomal RNA", at positions 509 to 807 of the family's 1533-position model. The record is from RNAcentral.
CAGUCGCCGCGGUAAUACGGAGGGAGCUAGCGUUGUUCGGAAUUACUGGGCGUAAAGCGCACGUAGGCGGUUAUUCAAGUCAGAGGUGAAAGCCCGGGGCUCAACCCCGGAAUAGCCUUUGAAACUAGAUAACUUGAAUCCAGGAGAGGUGAGUGGAAUUCCGAGUGUAGAGGUGAAAUUCGUAGAUAUUCGGAAGAACACCAGUGGCGAAGGCGGCUCACUGGACUGGUAUUGACGCUGAGGUGCGAAAGCGUGGGGAGCAAACAGGAUUAGAUACCCCAGUAGUCCCUGUCUCUUAUAC